GACGGAAGGUGCAAGCGUUGCUCGGAAUCACUGGGCGUAAAGGGUGCGUAGGCGGCCGUGCAAGUCUGGCGUGAAAGCCCCGGGCUCAGCCCGGGAAGUGCGCUCGAAACUGCGCGGCUCGAGUGCCGGAGGGGAGAGUGGAAUUCCUGGUGUAGCGGUGAAAUGCGUAGAUAUCUGGAGGAAUACCGGUGGCGAAGGCGGCAUCCUGGACCAUAACUGACGCUGAGGCGCGAAAGCUAGGGGAGCAAACGGG
Molecule: ribosomal RNA, 253 nt
Filed under: uncultured bacterium
Lineage: Bacteria
Description: partial 16S ribosomal RNA
Rfam family: Bacterial small subunit ribosomal RNA
Source: RNAcentral